RNAcentral lists this ribosomal RNA (496 nucleotides) under uncultured bacterium. RNAcentral's name for it is "partial 16S ribosomal RNA". It matches the Rfam family "Bacterial small subunit ribosomal RNA", at positions 29 to 507 of the family's 1533-position model. The record is from RNAcentral.
AUGAACGCUGGCGGCGUGCCUCAUACAUGCAAGUCGAGCGAACAGAUGAGGAGCUUGCUCCUCUGACGUUAGCGGCGGACGGGUGAGUAACACGUGGAUAACCUACCUAUAAGACUGGGAUAACUACGGGAAACCGGAGCUAAUACCGGAUAAUAUAUUGAACCGCGUGGUUCAAUAGUGAAAGACGGUUUUGCUGUCACUUAUAGAUGGAUCCGCGCCGCAUUAGCUAGUUGGUAAGGUAACGGCUUACCAAGGCAACGAUGCGUAGCCGACCUGAGAGGGUGAUCGGCCACACUGGAACUGAGACACGGUCCAGACUCCUACGGGAGGCAGCAGUAGGGAAUCUUCCGCAAUGGGCGAAAGCCUGACGGAGCAACGCCGCGUGAGUGAUGAAGGUCUUCGGAUCGUAAAACUCUGUUAUUAGGGAAGAACAAAUGUGUAAGUAACUAUGCACGUCUUGACGGUACCUAAUCAGAAAGCCACGGCUAACUACGUG